AGGACUCUGUAUAGCUCCAAAGCUUGACACUUUCACCAACAGAAGUUGGUCCAAUAAAAGAUAUUACCUCACCCACCUUGUCUCUCUAAUAUCUGG
Molecule: long non-coding RNA, 96 nt
Organism: Gopherus evgoodei (Goodes thornscrub tortoise)
Lineage: Eukaryota; Metazoa; Chordata; Testudines; Testudinidae
Exons: 3
Source: RefSeq, a predicted model, not a curated record